This 932-nucleotide long non-coding RNA is filed under the name Homo sapiens (human). RNAcentral describes it as "PREDICTED lncRNA (TCONS_00244379)". The record is from RNAcentral. Lineage: Eukaryota; Metazoa; Chordata; Mammalia; Primates; Hominidae.
AAAGAGCAAUCUAUCAGAGGAUAUUCCUUCCAGCAACUGAGAACCUUUCAGAGCUUGAUUGCUGUGAAUGCUCCAGCCUUUCCAAAGUGUUUUACGCCACUCUCAAAUGAGAUAACGAAGCACUUUAAUUUACUGUUCAACUCCCAAACAGAGAGAAGAGAGAGAUUCGUGUUGACAAGUCCUUGUUGUCCAGACUCACACGGAUACAGCUGUGGGGAAGGAAGGAAGGCUGCAAUGCUGCUGUUUCCAUGAACAUGCCUGGCACCCUCCAGGUGUCAGCAGGGCCAGGGGAGUGGAGAACUGGUCUCCCUCUCCGCUCCUCUACAGAACACAGUAGUGUGAGGAUUCUGUACAGGUUUUGUUGGGAAAGAAAGGAGUAAAAAGGGACUUGGGACGGAAAAUGUUUCCUCCUUUUCAAAUAAAUUGUGCAUCAGGAUGUAGAGAGAGUGGAAGAGGGAGUUCAGAGGCACCAGGUGACCAAACGUAAGAGAAAAGAACAGUCCAGGUGUGGUGGCUCACACCUGUAAUCCCAGCACUUUAGGAGGCUGAGGCGGGUGGUUCAUCUGAGGUCAGGAGUUCAAGACCAGCUUGGUCAACAUGGUGAAACCCCAUCUCUACAAAAAUACAGAAAUUAGUCAUACGUGGUGGUGGGUGCCUGUAAUCCCAGCUACUCGGGAGGCUGAGGUGGGGGAAUCGCUUGAACCCGGGAGGCGGAGGUUGCAGUGAGCCCAGUGCACUCCAGCCUGGAUGACAGAGCGAGACUCCGUCUCAAAAAAAAAAAAAAAAAAAAAAUCAGAUGACCCGCUGUGGAGCUGACUCUGUUCCCAAACCAGGAUUUUCAUCAAGCUAAAAAUCUAGGCUGGGCUGGGUGGCUCCAACCUGUAACCCCAGCACUUUGGGAGGCCGAGGUGGGCAGACUGUUUGAGCUUGGG